RNAcentral lists this long non-coding RNA (323 nucleotides) under Dromaius novaehollandiae (emu). Its description in RNAcentral is "lncRNA (ENSDNVG00000014755.1)". The record is from RNAcentral. Lineage: Eukaryota; Metazoa; Chordata; Aves; Casuariiformes; Dromaiidae.
AAGCAGGGUUUGAUGUGCAGUAUGUGCCUGAAAUGUCUGCUUCUGGUUUCCUUACACAGGAGGAUGGUCCUAGCUUUUGUGGAUUUGGGAGACCAGCUGAUAGAAAGUACAUGGUCCUUGCCGUAGCUUCUGCUUUUUCUUGUGCUCAUCACUAACUCCACAUAUGAAACAGCAAGUCCGAAAAAAAUCACUSGGAUAUGGCAGGGGGAAAAGGCUGGAAUGCUACUUGGCAAAYCUUAGACACCAGACAGUAAAGCGUSGCUACUGUAAACAAGCCAAUGAUGAAUCAUUUGAAAUGCAAUUUGUGCAUUUUAUCCUCUUCG